This 960-nucleotide ribosomal RNA is filed under the name Triticum aestivum (bread wheat). RNAcentral's name for it is "partial small subunit ribosomal RNA". Lineage: Eukaryota; Viridiplantae; Streptophyta; Magnoliopsida; Poales; Poaceae. The record is from RNAcentral.
AUGUUUGCCGCAAAUGUUACAGUGCUAAGAAGUGUAGCAGCUGAUCGUUCAGCUACAAGGAACUCAAGAGGUGAUGCUGGAGGUGCCUUGAAAAUCCUACUGACAUUUGAUUUUGUGUUCAUUCUACACUUAAUGGAAAGAAUCAUGAAAAUCACGGAUGUCUUGUGUCUCAAACUUCAACAUAAAUCUUUGGAUAUUGCAAAUGCAUUAGAUUGUGUUUCUAACACAAAGGUGUUGCUUGGUGAACUACGAGAAGAUGGAUGGGACAACCUUUUUGAAGAUGUGAAAUCCUUUUGUGUGAAACAUGAGAUUGACAUCCCGGACAUGGAUCAAAAGUAUGUUGAUGUGAUGAAAUCUCAAAAUAAACAUGACAACACCACAGUUAUCCAUCAUUACAAAGUAGAUGUGUUUAAUGUUGCAAUAGAUCAACAAGUGGUAGAGUUGAAUGAUCGAUUCAGUUCUCAAGUUACUGAGCUUCUAGAUCUUUGCUCAUCAUUGGACCCGAGGCAUGAUGCCUUCAGCAAGUCAAAUAUAUGCAGACUAGUGGAGAAAUUCUAUCCUGCAGAUUUUUCUAGUCAAGAAAGAGAUCGGUUGGAGUGCGAGCUACCACAUUUCCAGCUUGAUACAUUCAACCAUCCAGAGAUCAAGAACUGCAAAUCACUUGCUGAUCUAACAAAAGGGAUAGUUAAGACUGGCAAGUCUUCUGACUAUCCAAUGGUUGAGAGGUUGUUACGAUUGGUGAUAACUCUUCCGAUGUCAACUGCAACAGCAGAGCGAGCCUUUUCUGCAAUGAAACUAGUCAAGACGCGGCUUCAAAGCAAAAUGGGAGAUGAUUUUCUUUGUCAUUGCAUGCUAGUUUACAUUGAGAAGGAACUUGCAGCCAAGUUUAGCUUUGAAAAAAUAAUUGAUAUCUUCGAUACUGGUGCUCGUAAAGCAGAAUUCAAAUUGAUAGAAAUGUAA